UUGUUUUUAAACCAUUGAUUUAUCUCUAUCAACAUAAUCACACACAAUAUUGUAGUAACAAGAUGUUGUAAUCUUUAUUUGCUGGAAAAUGACAAUCAGUCAAGUUUGUGUUUUAAGCACAUCUGACACAUCCCUAAACCUGAAAUGUAAAGCAGAACGUGCUCCACUUGCAGGUUAUUGUAAAAUAUGAAGCUUGUGUUGGGGAGGAUUCAGUGUCUGUUGAGGCACAUGUGAAUGUGUUAUAAAGUGAGUAUCAGAAACACAUCCAGACACUUCGACUGUCAAAGACCACACGACAGGAACAUUCUCCUGGAGACGUUGAGAAAGCACGGAAGGAAUGUCUGAGGAGGAUGUACUCAAAAAAUACACAUACUUAAGGACACCUGCUGGAGGGGACCCGGAUACACCUUUCCUACCAUACACCUGAUGGAUACUGACUGUAAAAUGGCAAUCAUAGUUCGAGGGCUCAGUGUGGUGACAGAAGAUGGAAUAGAUGUGUGUCAGUGCACCAGCCUUGAUGAAGCCUUUAUAACAGCCUUGUGGAUGUAUUUUGCUUUCAACAUUGCAUAUCCACCACACCUGAGAAAGACACUGACUUUCCUUCAGAGGCACAUUGUCAACUUUAGAAGAUGGAGACAAGCACUGUCAGUAACUUUACUCUGAAUGAUUAGUCUCUUGUAUUAGAUCCUCAUGCCUUGACUGUACCAUUGCCCAAAGUUCACUCGAAGGACAUUCACUCUUUUGAAGUUAAUCCAACAUGUUGGAGUGGUACAUGCACAUUAACCCACUAGCUUGCUCUAUUCUUUUUCUAUUCUAUCUGUUUUCUUUUUAUUUAUUAUAUUAUUUAAAAGCCCUUGCUACGUGUACUGUGUUAAGCUAACUGAGACUUGUUAUAGCUCUUACCUAUCAUUGCUCUUUUUGUUGUUUUUGAUUGCUUCAACUCUGUCCUCAUUUGUAAGUCAAUUUGAAUAAAAGCGUCUGCUAAAUGAAUAAAUGUAAAUGUAAAUAUUAGUAUAACCUGUGGUAUAGAUGAGUGCCAGUCAACUUUUUUCUGAUUCCAUUCUUUUAGAAACCAUGCACAGGAAGCAUAUGUACUUUUGGUACUCAGUGAAGAGUCAGCGGUACAGUUGU
Molecule: long non-coding RNA, 1131 nt
Organism: Carassius carassius (crucian carp)
Lineage: Eukaryota; Metazoa; Chordata; Actinopteri; Cypriniformes; Cyprinidae
Exons: 3
Source: RefSeq, a predicted model, not a curated record